RNAcentral lists this transfer RNA (87 nucleotides) under Acidimicrobiia bacterium. RNAcentral's name for it is "tRNA-Leu". It matches the Rfam family "tRNA". From Rfam's summary of the family: Transfer RNA (tRNA) molecules are approximately 80 nucleotides in length. Their secondary structure includes four short double-helical elements and three loops (D, anti-codon, and T loops). Lineage: Bacteria; Bacillati; Actinomycetota; Acidimicrobiia. The record is from RNAcentral.
GCGAGAGUGGCGGAAUUGGCAGACGCGCCGGUCUUAGGAGCCGGUAGCCGAAAGGCUGUGUGGGUUCGAGUCCCACCUUUCGCACCA